This 56-nucleotide transfer RNA is filed under the name Triticum aestivum (bread wheat). It matches the Rfam family "tRNA", at positions 10 to 63 of the family's 71-position model. From Rfam's summary of the family: Transfer RNA (tRNA) molecules are approximately 80 nucleotides in length. Lineage: Eukaryota; Viridiplantae; Streptophyta; Magnoliopsida; Poales; Poaceae. RNAcentral also lists the same sequence under 1 other name. The record is from Rfam by way of RNAcentral.
GCUCAGUUGGUAAAGCACAAGGCUCUUAACCUUAUGGUCGUGGGUUCGAGCCCCAC